AUCGGAUUCUCCCGGAGAACUCUUUCUCUCUCAACCCGAAUGACCCUGGCCAGGGAUUUGUCUGAGCAAGAACACAUAGGAUAUUCCUCUCAUGACGCCGAGAGUGGAUGAUCCUCUAUUGACACUCAAUAGCCCUCGUAAGGUCGACUACCACUCCCAAUGACCAGCUGUACUAGAUCUGGGGACAGCCAAACCUAUAAGUCUGGUAUCAAAGAGUGGAGCACUCAUACAGGACAUCCUUGGUGUCUCAAGUCUAAGGACCAGAUACACCACUAGGACUACGGAAUCGCUGUCUGACAAUAAGGCAUCAUCAACCAUCCAGCAUUCCGUAAGCGGAUCAAUCAGUGAACUCAUUCUCCAAUGAGCACCUGUACUGUAUCCCUAGUGUCCCUACACGAGCAGCUAUGAGACCAGCUGCAUCCAUUAUAUGGACGGGUAUACAGCACACCAGUCUAUCCGGUUAU
RNAcentral lists this long non-coding RNA (464 nucleotides) under Musa acuminata (dwarf banana). RNAcentral's name for it is "long non-coding RNA (MACU_LNC010937)". Lineage: Eukaryota; Viridiplantae; Streptophyta; Magnoliopsida; Zingiberales; Musaceae. The record is from RNAcentral.